Molecule: long non-coding RNA, 579 nt
Organism: Topomyia yanbarensis
Lineage: Eukaryota; Metazoa; Arthropoda; Insecta; Diptera; Culicidae
Exons: 3
Source: RefSeq, a predicted model, not a curated record
GACCUAUCUACACUACCGUCAUACGCAUAAUUGUCCCAUGUUCUAUGGGAUUUUCAAUAUUCAUGGUACAAUUAUGCGUAGAACGGCAGUACAGCCACAUAGUUUCAAAAGGCUUGAUGUAAAUCCCUGUUCACUACCCCUGCUGUAGGUCUGGCCUAGCCAAAAUUCUCCCGGAGCGAGGACAAAGUUCUGCCUUUCCGCUAGCAGCUGACAACAGCUAGCAGUUCACCAGAUCUCAUAUGUCUGUAUCGAACCCAUCCCAGGGUUCUAUCGCCAACCAAUCGGUGGGACACAUGAGGCGUCUUUCUAUGGCUCUACUGCAUCCGGACCAUGCACGGAUAAUUGCAUCAUUAGACCAAGCAGACAUCUCUAGAAGACAAUACAGAAUCCAUCAGUGCCAUAGGACCUCACCGUGCACAGCCAGUUCCAGCUCGACCUUCCUAUUGUCAGUCGUAGUUUCCAACGAAGGACUACAUCCACAAAGUCUGGCCUAGCCAAAAUUCUCCCGGAGCGAGGACAAAGUUCUGCCUUUCCGCUAGCAGCUGACAACAGCUAGCAGUUCACCAGAUCUCAUAUGUC